CAUACGUCCGUAACAUGCAACGCAGACGUCAGCAUAUCGAUUUUUGGGUAAUAAGUUCGCCGUCGCCAACACCACGCCACGUAGUUGGCGUCGCGACGCUGUUCCAAAAGGUUAUGGUAGAAGGGAAUAUGGACAUGUCGCCUAAAAUACACAGCGGAUUGUAAAAGAUAUGUUCAAAAUCAGAACAAUAAUAAUGAUAUUUCCCGCACCCGAAGACAUUGUAGUGGUUAAUAAUAACUUGUGUAAUUCCCAUAAACACUUUGUUUACCAAUACCUUUUGCGGACUGUGUGCUACAGUGAUUAAGUGUUAGGCGAAGCAGACGUCACUCUUCCGUAGACGAAACCCAUUAAUAAAGAGGGGACUUCAUUGUUUGUCGUUUCCUACGUCACGUGAGUGGGGGGUCCCACCUCUACAUAAAUAUCCCCCCGGCUACUUUUCCAAAUAAUCAGUUUCGUGUGGUACGAGCGAGGAGGAGAGUAGCAAGCAACCUUCGGAUCGUCGUUUUCUUUUUACUUUUUUUUUCAUCUGCCCGCGUUGUAUGGUUCUACCCUACAACGUACUCCCACUAGGAGAAAAAGAUUCUUUUUCUUAAAGGACAUACUUAUUUUUUAAAUAAAAGUAACAUUUUUAUUUUUGAUGUGUUUAAUACUAGAUUAUGUGUUGGAAACCACUCAGAAAGACUAGCUAUAUUCCGUUUCAUUUGUCGUAUUUGAAAAAUCUGUUAAGUUAGUAUCGUAUUUAAAAAAGUUCUGUCAUCAUAGCAAUAGAAAAGUGUACGUAAUAUUUCAAAUGUAAUUCUUUGACCAAUAAUAUUUUAUGAAACGAU
This is a long non-coding RNA of Zophobas morio, 827 nucleotides long. RefSeq lists it as uncharacterized. The transcript has 3 exons. The record is from RefSeq and is a predicted model, not a curated record. NCBI's taxonomy places the organism in Eukaryota, Metazoa, Arthropoda, Insecta, Coleoptera, Tenebrionidae.